GUUAUUACCCUUUACCUAAGGGAGCGGCCUCCAAGAGAAACUUGUUUGCCCUCAACUCAGUCUGCAUCUGGGGUUUAGAUAGCUCAUGGUUCUGCUGGUUAGGAAGUUCAAGCGCAAGGCCCUGACUUCUGGACUCUGGGACCUAACAUGAAAAAGAGGCUGCUAUAUCAGAUAUUCGUUUCUAGUUGAAUAGGGAAAAGAGCAAGAGAGCAGGCAGAAAAUACACAAUGCUUCAACACUAUUAUGUACAGACAAGGUGUACAUAAUGUCCAUCCACACACCAUUGGCCAAAGCAAGUCUCUUGGAUAAACAAAAUGUCAAUGAGGCAACCGUGUAUGCUCACCCACAGGAGAAGCUGCAAAUGACAUGACAACUUGACUUACAUAGGAAUGAAGGGCAGAGUAAUACUUGGGAACAGUAUUUCAAUCUGUGGAUACAGAGAGAGAGAUCUGAACAUGUGACUACCAAAAAGGUACAGGGAUUAGUUCUGG
This 491-nucleotide long non-coding RNA is filed under the name Homo sapiens (human). RNAcentral's name for it is "HSALNT0092430". The record is from RNAcentral. Lineage: Eukaryota; Metazoa; Chordata; Mammalia; Primates; Hominidae.